GACGAACGCUGGCGGCGUGCUUAACACAUGCAAGUCGAACGGAAAGGCCCUGCUUUUGUGGGGUGCUCGAGUGGCGAACGGGUGAGUAACACGUGAGUAACCUGCCCUUGACUUUGGGAUAACUUCAGGAAACUGGGGCUAAUACCGGAUAGGAGCUCCUGCUGCAUUGUGGGGGUUGGAAAGUUUCGGCGGUUGGGGAUGGACUCGCGGCUUAUCAGCUUGUUGGUGGGGUAGUGGCUUACCAAGGCUUUGACGGGUAGCCGGCCUGAGAGGGUGACCGGCCACAUUGGGACUGAGAUACGGCCCAGACUCCUACGGGAGGCAGCAGUGGGGAAUAUUGCACAAUGGGCGGAAGCCUGAUGCAGCAACGCCGCGUGCGGGAUGACGGCCUUCGGGUUGUAAACCGUUUUCGCCUGUGACGAAGCGUGAGUGACGGUAAUGGGUAAAGAAGCACCGGCUAACUACGUG
RNAcentral lists this ribosomal RNA (468 nucleotides) under uncultured bacterium. Its description in RNAcentral is "partial 16S ribosomal RNA". It matches the Rfam family "Bacterial small subunit ribosomal RNA", at positions 28 to 507 of the family's 1533-position model. The record is from RNAcentral.